Molecule: long non-coding RNA, 292 nt
Filed under: Mytilus galloprovincialis (Mediterranean mussel)
Lineage: Eukaryota; Metazoa; Mollusca; Bivalvia; Mytilida; Mytilidae
Source: RNAcentral
CGAUAGUAGAGGGGCAUUAUGUUUUCUGGUCUGUGCGUCCGUCCGUUCGUUCGUUCGUCCGUUCGUCCGUUCGUCCGUCUGUCCCGCUUCAGGUUAAAGUUUUUGGUCGAGGUAGUUUUUGAUGAAGUUGAAGUCCAAUCGACUUCAAACUUGGUACACAUGUUCCCUAUGAUAUGAUCUUUAUAAUUUUAAUGCCAAAUUAGAGAUUUUACCCCAAUUUCACGGUCCACUGAACAUAGAAAAUGAUAGUGCGAGUGGGGCAUUCGUGUACUGAGGACACAUUCUUGUUCCU